CCAAUCUCCAUUUCCAGUUUUCCUAUUCAACUUCAAACCUCCCUCUGUUGCAAUCCAUCUUUUGCUCCGUCGAAUCGCCGUCGUUGACUCCGAUCACCGGAAGCAGAGAUGAGCAGACAUGAUUCAAAGUAUUUCUCCACCACUAAAAAAGGCGAAAUCCCUGAGCUUAAAGAAGAACUCAAUUCAUAGUACAAGAUCCAUCUAAGAGUUCCAUUCGUGAUUGAGAAAAAACGUUGCAACAUCAUCAUAUAUGUUGCGAGUGGGCUACAUUACCUUCAUAAAAGAAGCCAAUUCUGCCUCGAGACAUGGUCAAGGCUAGGAUUGGAAUAUCGUGUAUACCUGUACACGAUAAGACACGACACGAUAAGACACGAUACACGAACUAGCUAACAUCCUGACAGAUGGAUUAAUCCGCACAAAAGAAGAAAUGAGUUCUCAUGCUGUUGUAAUUACAUGGAUUUUUCUCGGGCGGGAUAAUAACCGACUUAGUGUUCAGUUUAAAAAUUCAUAUGGAGUAAGGAGGAGAGUUCUGGGGCAAGCACGGGUAACUGAUGCCUUUUUCAAGAAGAUUGGAGUACCAGAGAUGUCGGAAUAGAGCGAAAAUUAAGAGAAAAGAGAAAAGAAAGGAUAGUUAAUAAAGAGAAGAAAAGAUCCGGUGGCCACGGUGACCCAUGGUUGGUCAAGGGGAGGUUAAAGUUUGAGAUGAUGGUCAAAGAGAGCGUCAGAAUAUAGAGAAUAGAGACUGUUUAACCUUCACGUGAAAUCCAACGGUGGACUUAAAGAUAGAGACGGCGGUGCCAUGUGGUGGUCUACGAUGUAUGAUGGUGAGAGGAGAUAUUGGCGUUGAGAGCUCCCCAUCUACCUCUGUACACCACGGCUACAAGGUUAACGAUGGCGGAGUGAUGGUUGUUAUGGCUAUCUGUGGCGGAGUCAUAGUUUUGUAGAAAAGAAAGUCAUGGUUUUGUAGAAAAGAAAAUUUGUAGUUUGUGAAAACUGAAAAGUAAGAUAUGGAAGAGAGAUUUGGGAGUUUUGGAUACAGUACAAGAAAUUCAAAUUUAGUUAAUAAUUCAAUUGAAAUCCGAAAUUUAGCUGUUUUGAACU
This 1101-nucleotide long non-coding RNA is filed under the name Helianthus annuus (common sunflower). The record is from RNAcentral. Lineage: Eukaryota; Viridiplantae; Streptophyta; Magnoliopsida; Asterales; Asteraceae.